This 112-nucleotide long non-coding RNA is filed under the name Theropithecus gelada (gelada). RNAcentral's name for it is "GNAS antisense RNA 1 conserved region 4 (ENSTGEG00000011712.1)". It matches the Rfam family "GNAS antisense RNA 1 conserved region 4". Lineage: Eukaryota; Metazoa; Chordata; Mammalia; Primates; Cercopithecidae. The record is from RNAcentral.
CUUCUACUUGUGCAGGCUCAGCAUCCCUGGGGCCUCAACUCCUUAGCCAUCCUAGGCUGCUGCUCGCAGUAAGCCCUCUCCUCGUAGUCCCGGCCCUCUACCUCCCAGCCCU